Long non-coding RNA from Hydra vulgaris (swiftwater hydra), 115 nucleotides. RefSeq lists it as uncharacterized. The record is from RefSeq and is a predicted model, not a curated record. Lineage: Eukaryota; Metazoa; Cnidaria; Hydrozoa; Anthoathecata; Hydridae.
AAUAAUCAAAUUUUUAUUUAUCUAUUUGUAGAUAGAGAAAAAAUGUUGGAAAGUAUUGUUGCACAACAAACAGAAAUAUUGGAACAGCAAAGAGAGAUGUUAAAACGUGUUGGGC